Molecule: long non-coding RNA, 722 nt
Filed under: Brassica rapa (field mustard)
Lineage: Eukaryota; Viridiplantae; Streptophyta; Magnoliopsida; Brassicales; Brassicaceae
Description: long non-coding RNA (BRAP_LNC001387)
Source: RNAcentral
UGUCUCUUUUUUUUUGUCUUGAAGGAAUCUGUCUUUUGAUCUAUAUAUUUCUACACAGACCUGUAAAUAAUUUCAGCUAAAUCCAAAACCUUCGUGUAAUUAUUUUUUGGUGUGAAAACACCUUCGUGUUAUAAUAGUAGGAGUAUAAAAAUUUUAUACUUAACAAAAUUACUAUACUGUUUAAUCAAUAUAUAGAUGUAAAAAAGAUCGCAGUACAUUAACUAACUUGAUCCUAAUAAGAUCUCGACGGUGCCUUCAUUAGUCAAGUUCUCAAUUUCCUUUUGGAUUGAAUCGGUGUUUAAUUGAUGACUAAGCAGUCGACAAGGAAAGUAAUUUUAGUGGACGUCAAUUUGUCGCAAAAUGUAUGGCCAAUACUGAUGCUUUCUUUCUCUACCACGUAGAUAUUUUAUUUUUUAAAUGAACUCUACCACGUAGAUUAGUCUGAGAACAGUAUUCAACAUGUGAUUGUUUUUUUUUUUUUUUUUUAAUAACUGAACAACAUGUGAUUUUUAAUCCAUCUUGUUGUAAAAUCAUAACAUUUCAUAUAAAGAUAUUGAUCAAAUUCUAUGUUUUCACGUUUCCUAUACGAAAUGAUUAAAAAUAUAUUUAGAAAAGUCAAAUAUUUUAGUUUUUUAAUAAUGUUUAGAGAAAUUCUAUAGGAUAGCUAUUUUUAAGUUUUUAUUAUAAAAAUAGCCUCAAUAAAAAAAAUGACCAAAUUUUUU